This 525-nucleotide ribosomal RNA is filed under the name uncultured Enterococcaceae bacterium. RNAcentral's name for it is "bacterial SSU rRNA". It matches the Rfam family "Bacterial small subunit ribosomal RNA", at positions 28 to 523 of the family's 1533-position model. Lineage: Bacteria; Bacillati; Bacillota; Bacilli; Lactobacillales; Enterococcaceae. The record is from RNAcentral.
GACGAACGCUGGCGGCGUGCCUAAUACAUGCAAGUCGAACGCUUCUUUCCCUCCCGAGUGCUUGCACUCAAUUGGAAAGAGGAGUGGCGGACGGGUGAGUAACACGUGGGUAACCUACCCAUCAGAGGGGGAUAACACUUGGAAACAGGUGCUAAUACCGCAUAACAGUUUAUGCCGCAUGGCAUAAGAGUGAAAGGCGCUUUCGGGUGUCGCUGAUGGAUGGACCCGCGGUGCAUUAGCUAGUUGGUGAGGUAACGGCUCACCAAGGCCACGAUGCAUAGCCGACCUGAGAGGGUGAUCGGCCACACUGGGACUGAGACGCGGCCCAGACUCCUACGGGAGGCAGCAGUAGGGAAUCUUCGGCAACGGACGAAAGUCUGACCGAGCAACGCCGCGUGAGUGAAGAAGGUUUUCGGAUCGUAAAACUCUGUUGUUAGAGAAGAACAAGGACGUUAGUAACUGAACGUCCCCUGACGGUAUCUAACCAGAAAGCCACGGCUAACUACGUGCCAGCCGCCGCGGUAA